UACAGAGGUCCCAAGCGUUGUUCGGAUUCAUUGGGCGUAAAGGGUGUGUAGGUGGCGCCGUAAGUCGGGUGUGAAAUCUCGGGGCUUAACUCCGAAACUGCAUUCGAUACUGCGGUGCUUGAGGACUGGAGAGGAGACUGGAAUUCAUGGUGUAGCAGUGAAAUGCGUAGAGAUCAUGAGGAAGACCAGUGGCGAUGGCGGGUCUCUGGACAGUUCCUGACACUGAGACACGAAGGCCAGGGGAGCAAACGGG
This 253-nucleotide ribosomal RNA is filed under the name uncultured bacterium. RNAcentral's name for it is "partial 16S ribosomal RNA". It matches the Rfam family "Bacterial small subunit ribosomal RNA", at positions 524 to 776 of the family's 1533-position model. The record is from RNAcentral.